UCUCCGUUGGUGAACCAGCGGAGGGAUCAUUACCGAGCUUUCUAUUCCUAAAUCCCUGUUAACUUAUACCUUUACCGUUGCUUCGGCGGGUUAACGCCCCGGAAAGGCCCCCGCAAGGGACCCGCCCCGCAACCAGGCGCCCGCCGGGGGACACCAACUCCUGUAUCUUCUUAUCUAGCAUGUCCGCGUGGUAUCACUAACUAAUAACUCAAAACUACCAACCACGGAUUUCUUGCUUCUGGCAUCGACGAAGAACGCCGCAGAUCCGAAGCGCACACC
Molecule: unclassified non-coding RNA, 279 nt
Filed under: plant metagenome
Description: partial contains small subunit ribosomal RNA, internal transcribed spacer 1, and 5.8S ribosomal RNA
Source: RNAcentral